This is a non-coding RNA of Otolemur garnettii (small-eared galago), 74 nucleotides long. The record is from Rfam. Lineage: Eukaryota; Metazoa; Chordata; Mammalia; Primates; Galagidae.
GUGCCUGUAGCUCAGCGGCUAGAGCACCAGCCACAUACACUGGAACUGGCAGGUUCAAACCCAGCCCAGGCCCA